Molecule: small RNA, 737 nt
Filed under: Pan troglodytes (chimpanzee)
Lineage: Eukaryota; Metazoa; Chordata; Mammalia; Primates; Hominidae
Description: retained intron
Source: RNAcentral
AAAUACCCGACCUUGCUGCACCAGAGAAAGAAGCAGCGAUUCCUCAGUAAACACAUCUCUCACCGCGGAGGUGCUGGAGAAAAUUUGGAGAAUACAAUGGCAGCCUUUCAGCAUGCGGUUAAAAUCGGAACUGAUAUGCUAGAAUUGGACUGCCAUAUCACAAAAGAUGAACAAGUUGUAGUGUCACAUGAUGAGAAUCUAAAGAGAGCAACUGGGGUCAAUGUAAACAUCUCUGAUCUCAAAUACUGUGAGCUCCCACCUUACCUUGGCAAACUGGAUGUCUCAUUUCAAAGAGGUAAUAUUUUUUGUUUGUGGCUUAAACAUUUGUGUUGAGAAGCAUAUGUGUGUUUUCUUGUCAUAGUAAGUUCUUACUAAAAGUAACUGACCUCUAAGUUUGUUCCCUCAGGCCUACAAAUCUGAAGACUUGAAAAUUAUCUGACGUGAAAUUAUCAGGUCCAAAGAGUUAAGUGAUUCAUUCUGCUUAAAUUCACGUACAGUUAACUUAAACCUGAACACUGAUUGCAAGAAACAUUUCACUUCUAAAGCUUCAAAUUCUAGAAUAUUGCCGCAACUUAUAUUAGUCAUCCAUCAAAAAAAUAAUAAAAAAUAAAUGAAAAGGGCUGGGCACGGUGGCUCAUGACUGUAAUCCCAGCACUUUGGGAGGCUGAGGCAGGCAGAUCACUUUAGGUCAGGAGUUCGAGACCAGCCUAGCCAACAUGGCAAAACCCCGUCUCUAC